Molecule: ribosomal RNA, 404 nt
Filed under: Verrucomicrobiota bacterium
Lineage: Bacteria; Pseudomonadati; Verrucomicrobiota
Description: Verrucomicrobia bacterium partial 16S ribosomal RNA
Rfam family: Bacterial small subunit ribosomal RNA
Source: RNAcentral
UGGGGAAUAUUGGACAAUGGGCGCAAGCCUGAUCCAGCCAUGCCGCGUGAGUGAUGAAGGCCCUAGGGUUGUAAAGCUCUUUCACCGGUGAAGAUAAUGACGGUAACCGGAGAAGAAGCCCCGGCUAACUUCGUGCCAGCAGCCGCGGUAAUACGAAGGGGGCUAGCGUUGUUCGGAUUUACUGGGCGUAAAGCGCACGUAGGCGGACUAUUAAGUCAGGGGUGAAAUCCCGGGGCUCAACCCCGGAACUGCCUUUGAUACUGGUAGUCGUGAGUUCGGGAGAGGUGAGUGGAAUUCCGAGUGUAGAGGUGAAAUUCGUAGAUAUUCGGAGGAACACCAGUGGCGAAGGCGGCUCACUGGCUCGAUACUGACGCUGAGGUGCGAAAGCGUGGGGAGCAAACAGG